AGAGUUUGAUCAUGGCUCAGAUUGAACGCUGGCGGCGUGCCUAACACAUGCAAGUCGAGCGGUAACAGGUGUAGCAAUACAUGCUGACGAGCGGCGAACGGGUGAGUAAUGCUUCGGAAUCUACCCAGUAGUGGGGAAUAACCAACCGAAAGGUUGGCUAAUACCGCAUACGUCCUACGGGAGAAAGCGGGGGAUCGCAAGACCUCGCGCUAUCGGAUGAGCCGAAGCCGGAUUAGCUAGUUGGUAGGGUAACGGCCUACCAAGGCGACGAUCCGUAGCUGGUCUGAGAGGACGACCAGCCACACUGGGACUGAGACACGGCCCAGACUCCUACGGGAGGCAGCAGUGGGGAAUAUUGGACAAUGGGGGAAACCCUGAUCCAGCGACGCCGCGUGUGUGAAGAAGGCCUGCGGGUUGUAAAGCACUUUUAGUGGGGAUGAAAAGUGCAGAGCUAACACCUCUGCAUCUUGACCUAACCCACAGAAAAAGCACCGGCUAACUCUGUGCCAGCAGCCGCGGUAAUACAGAGGGUGCGAGCGUUAAUCGGAAUUACUGGGCGUAAAGCGUGCGUAGACGGUAAUGUAAGUCGGGUGUGAAAGCCCCGGGCUCAACCUGGGAAUUGCAUUCGAGACUGCAUUGCUUGGGUGCGGAAGAGGGAAGCGGAAUUUCCGGUGUAGCGGUGAAAUGCGUAGAUAUCGGAAGGAACACCAGUGGCGAAAGCGGCUUCCUGGUCCGACACCGACGUUCAGGCACGAAAGCGUGGGGAGCAAACAGGAUUAGAUACCCCAGUAGUCC
Molecule: ribosomal RNA, 795 nt
Filed under: uncultured bacterium
Lineage: Bacteria
Description: bacterial SSU rRNA
Rfam family: Bacterial small subunit ribosomal RNA
Source: RNAcentral